This 423-nucleotide unclassified non-coding RNA is filed under the name fungal sp. Its description in RNAcentral is "partial internal transcribed spacer region". The stretch from base 1 to 46 matches the Rfam family "Eukaryotic small subunit ribosomal RNA", at positions 1786 to 1831 of the family's 1831-position model. The record is from RNAcentral. Lineage: Eukaryota; Fungi.
AAGUCGUAACAAGGUUUCCGUAGGUGAACCUGCGGAAGGAUCAUUAACACGUAUCCAACGUUAAACCCCCCGUGAACCUUCAGAGCGUUCUUGCCGCCCGUGACAAUCAGCAAUCCUGGUAAAUCAAGUGGGAAUAUCCGUUAUUGAUUCAGGACCUCUGCUGUCAUGUGUUAGGGAAACCAUAGCGGCAAUUGAGAGCUUUUAUCGUUAGUUUGGCGUCCUGGCCGGGCGAGUGAAAGUGUCGCUAGACGGUUUCUAGGGUAAGGCUUCGCCAUCCCUGGAGGCUCACCACGUAGCCGGCGGACAAACUACAGGGCUAUAUGCCCCCUAAUGACGACCAAGUUAAAUAGGGCCUCUGUCACAUAGCAAGUGCGCCGUGCCAGAGGAAAAGUACAACUGUUAACAAUGGAUAUCUUGGUUCUC